GUGGGGAAUCUUCCGCAAUGGACGAAAGUCUGACGGAGCAACGCCGCGUGAGUGAAGAAGGUUUUCGGAUCGUAAAGCUCUUUCGUUAGGGACGAACGUGCUCUUUGUGAAUAAUGAGGAGUAAUGACGGUACCUAAAUAAGAAGCCACGGCUAACUACGUGCCAGCAGCCGCGGUAAUACGUAGGUGGCAAGCGUUGUCCGGAAUUAUUGGGCGUAAAGCGCGCGCAGGCGGGAUAUCAAGUCUUGAUUAAAAGUGCGAGGCUCAACCUCGUGAGGGGACAGAAACUGGUAUUCUUGAGUGUCGGAGAGGAAAGUGGAAUUCCAAGUGUAGCGGUGAAAUGCGUAGAGAUUUGGAAGAACACCAGUGGCGAAGGCGACUUUCUGGACGAUGUCUGACGCUGAGGCGCGAAAGCUAGGGGAGCGAACGGGAUUAGAAACCCUGGUAGUCC
Molecule: ribosomal RNA, 450 nt
Filed under: uncultured bacterium
Lineage: Bacteria
Description: partial 16S ribosomal RNA
Rfam family: Bacterial small subunit ribosomal RNA
Source: RNAcentral